UACGGGGGGGGCAAGCGUUGUUCGGAAUUACUGGGCGUAAAGGGCUCGUAGGCGGCCAACUAAGUCAAACGUGAAAUCCCUCGGCUUAACCGGGGAACUGCGUCUGAUACUGGAUGGCUUGAGUUUGGGAGAGGGAUGCGGAAUUCCAGGUGUAGCGGUGAAAUGCGUAGAUAUCUGGAGGAACACCGGUGGCGAAGGCGGCGUUCUGGACUGCUACUGACACUGAGGAACGAAAGCCAGGGGAGCAAACGGG
RNAcentral lists this ribosomal RNA (253 nucleotides) under uncultured bacterium. RNAcentral describes it as "partial 16S ribosomal RNA". It matches the Rfam family "Bacterial small subunit ribosomal RNA", at positions 524 to 776 of the family's 1533-position model. The record is from RNAcentral.